Molecule: ribosomal RNA, 1557 nt
Filed under: Staphylococcus aureus
Lineage: Bacteria; Bacillati; Bacillota; Bacilli; Caryophanales; Staphylococcaceae
Description: 16S ribosomal RNA
Rfam family: Bacterial small subunit ribosomal RNA
Source: RNAcentral
UUUUAUGGAGGGUUUGAUCCUGGCUCAGGAUGAACGCUGGCGGCGUGCCUAAUACAUGCAAGUCGAGCGAACGGACGAGAAGCUUGCUUCUCUGAUGUUAGCGGCGGACGGGUGAGUAACACGUGGAUAACCUACCUAUAAGACUGGGAUAACUUCGGGAAACCGGAGCUAAUACCGGAUAAUAUUUUGAACCGCAUGGUUCAAAAGUGAAAGACGGUCUUACUGUCACUUAUAGAUGGAUCCGCGCUGCAUUAGCUAGUUGGUAAGGUAACGGCUUACCAAGGCAACGAUGCAUAGCCGACCUGAGAGGGUGAUCGGCCACACUGGAACUGAGACACGGUCCAGACUCCUACGGGAGGCAGCAGUAGGGAAUCUUCCGCAAUGGGCGAAAGCCUGACGGAGCAACGCCGCGUGAGUGAUGAAGGUCUUCGGAUCGUAAAACUCUGUUAUUAGGGAAGAACAUAUGUGUAAGUAACUGUGCACAUCUUGACGGUACCUAAUCAGAAAGCCACGGCUAACUACGUGCCAGCAGCCGCGGUAAUACGUAGGUGGCAAGCGUUAUCCGGAAUUAUUGGGCGUAAAGCGCGCGUAGGCGGUUUUUUAAGUCUGAUGUGAAAGCCCACGGCUCAACCGUGGAGGGUCAUUGGAAACUGGAAAACUUGAGUGCAGAAGAGGAAAGUGGAAUUCCAUGUGUAGCGGUGAAAUGCGCAGAGAUAUGGAGGAACACCAGUGGCGAAGGCGACUUUCUGGUCUGUAACUGACGCUGAUGUGCGAAAGCGUGGGGAUCAAACAGGAUUAGAUACCCUGGUAGUCCACGCCGUAAACGAUGAGUGCUAAGUGUUAGGGGGUUUCCGCCCCUUAGUGCUGCAGCUAACGCAUUAAGCACUCCGCCUGGGGAGUACGACCGCAAGGUUGAAACUCAAAGGAAUUGACGGGGACCCGCACAAGCGGUGGAGCAUGUGGUUUAAUUCGAAGCAACGCGAAGAACCUUACCAAAUCUUGACAUCCUUUGACAACUCUAGAGAUAGAGCUUUCCCCUUCGGGGGACAAAGUGACAGGUGGUGCAUGGUUGUCGUCAGCUCGUGUCGUGAGAUGUUGGGUUAAGUCCCGCAACGAGCGCAACCCUUAAGCUUAGUUGCCAUCAUUAAGUUGGGCACUCUAAGUUGACUGCCGGUGACAAACCGGAGGAAGGUGGGGAUGACGUCAAAUCAUCAUGCCCCUUAUGAUUUGGGCUACACACGUGCUACAAUGGACAAUACAAAGGGCAGCGAAACCGCGAGGUCAAGCAAAUCCCAUAAAGUUGUUCUCAGUUCGGAUUGUAGUCUGCAACUCGACUACAUGAAGCUGGAAUCGCUAGUAAUCGUAGAUCAGCAUGCUACGGUGAAUACGUUCCCGGGUCUUGUACACACCGCCCGUCACACCACGAGAGUUUGUAACACCCGAAGCCGGUGGAGUAACCUUUUAGGAGCUAGCCGUCGAAGGUGGGACAAAUGAUUGGGGUGAAGUCGUAACAAGGUAGCCGUAUCGGAAGGUGCGGCUGGAUCACCUCCUUUCUAA